Long non-coding RNA from Mercenaria mercenaria, 6101 nucleotides. RefSeq lists it as uncharacterized. Lineage: Eukaryota; Metazoa; Mollusca; Bivalvia; Venerida; Veneridae. The transcript has 8 exons. The record is from RefSeq and is a predicted model, not a curated record.
AUUAUUUGUUAAAUGUAUACAGUUGCAAAAUCUAGUACAUAGGGCCAUACCAAACUGAUAUGUCGUUCGUCGGAACUACAUCAUCAAUAAUUUCAUUCCAGAGAAAGAAAAAAAAUCACCCGCCCACACGUGCAUUGGAGUUUGCUUCUACGCACGAAAUGUAACUUUUCUGAAAUUUCAAUAUCUGCUUUAGAGUCAAACUCUAGUCAAAUAAAGAUAAAAGAUCGCAGAUUGUUUGUUCAAAUUCAUGUAGUGAUUUUGUCCUAUUAAAAACCACCAAACAUAUCUGUGUCGGAAGGUAAAGCUGUUUCCGACUAAUCUCGGCUACAUGCUGUUGAAGCUAGGUUACUUUCAACAUAUCCAUGAAGAAAGGUUAGAGCUAUUGAAGUGUCUAGGGCUAUGGAUCCUAGUCCAGAUAAUAACGCGUUUCGGGACAGUGUGAUAACUUUUUACACCAUGAGAAAACCAACAUAGUGCAUUUGCGACCAGCAUGGAUCCAGACCAGCCUGCAUAUCCACGCACUGGUCUGGAUUCAAGCUGGCCGCAAAUGCAAUGUGCUGGUUUUCUCAUGGUGCAGCACAGUUUAACCUAGGUUUAUUGAGUACCAUUCAAUGCAUGUGUAUGGUCAGUGUGGGAGAAUUAAUGCCUAUCGUGCUCUGUUACAGAUAGCAUCCAGACUAUUCAGGUUUUGUUUACGCUAGUAAAAAAGUCAUAGUGUGUUUCUAUAUUAAUUUCAUAUACAUUUUUAUACGCUUUAAAAAUUAUCAGACAUGCGUAUAUGCAUUAUUUAAAAGCGUAAUUUACGCUAAUACGCAUCUUAUGUGGAGCCCUGUUUGGGGUCACUCUGUUAAAGGUCAAGGUCACAGCAGCUAGAAUAUGGAAAUCCAUUCCUGUCAGUAACUAAUUGGGAACCAUUUGACCUAGAACCUUCAAACUUUAUAGGGUGAUACAACUUCAGAGUUAAAAUGACCUCUAUUGUUUUUGGGGUCACUCAAUCAAAGGUCAAUAUAACAGGGGCCAUCUCUCUGUCACAGUUAUUUUUUUUUCAAUAACUCACAGAACCUUAAAACUUCAUAGGGUGAUAGGACUUGUAACAUUUUUAGGGUAGUAGAUCAAAGGUCAAGUUCACAGGGGCCUGAACACGGAAAACUGUUGCUGAUAAAAAACUUGAGAUCUACCUUAUUGCCUGGGCAGGUAAUAGUAGAAUGUGGGCAAGCAAAAAUUAUACUCAGUUGCCCAUCAUACAAGUGAAAUAUUUGAAAUGUUUGAAAGAUCCCCAAAAAUUACCCUAUGGGCAAGUGCUCAACAGAGUUAAGCCGAUCCCUGAGGUAGAAUUUUUUUACUAUAUAAUUUUAUGUUUACAAAAUAAUUUUCUUAAAUUAUGGAAAAAAUACUAUACAGAGAUUUUCGAAACAGAGUAAAUAAUCUGCAGAACUUAUAAUGAAAUGUGACGAAUGCAUGUCUUUAAAUUCAGACAGGACAUAUUGUUAUUUUGAGAAGGAAACUGUCUGACAUUGUACCUAGGAGCAGUCAAGAAGAAAGAUUUAAAAAAAAAAUAUAUACACACAGUGCGAACAGCUGCUUUGCUCUACCUUCAAGGGCGGCGAAAUCUGAUUUUACUUGCUUGUCCAUUUUUGUCAUUUGCUAUUUUUUACUUGUCCGUAUGAUAGUUAUAUAUAGUAAAUUCUGGUAAAAUUUCACUUGUCCGUACAAGCUUUGGGACAACCUGGGCAAUACGGAUAAUUGAAUUUGCCGCCCCUGGCCUUAUAUACAGGAUUUCCAUUAUAGACUUCUCAUUAGCACCCAUUUACAGAUACAUCAAUAUUGAUGAACAUAGAACAUCAGACCUGUACCACUGGCAUCCUGUACCUUCACCAGAACAGACCAGAUACCUCACAAAACAGAAAGUGUGUGUCCAGCCAAGCAUUCAAUGGUUGAAGCUCUAAUAUCAGCUUGGGUGGAAAGAACAGUGAAGAUACAGAACAGACAUAAGUUAAUGAGAUAUGAUAAACUGGAAGCUCCAUGAGGAUGUUAUACUAAAAUAUGGUUGUAGUGGUUUUAGUACAGACACAGAAAGAGAGGAGGCGGCUAAAAAACUGCAGUUCAGAGGGUUAGAAGUUUACAAUACAUGUUCAUAUUUCUAUGAGGCGAAAGGUUUGAGCUGCGGACACCAAAGCAAAAGUGAAAUGUAUGAAGUUCAGCUGUAAUGGUAAUCAGAUGCAGGUCUUUGUCCUACAUGGUGAGGGAAACAGUGUGGCAUUUUUGGAAAACAUGUAAUAGAAUUUUAGAAGAUUUUGCUGACAUGAAGCUGGAGGACAUAGCUCAGAGUUGUGAGCUUGCUCUCAAGGCAUAUCGAAUAGCGAUUUGGUGGUUGAAUCCAUAAAAUUAGAGUGGAUCAGGUUUAAGAGGGAAAUUUACCACGGCAUGAAAAUUACAGAAAAUGACUGGAGAUCUUUGCUUAGUUCUAGCUCUCUGAGUGAUUUGAUGUUAAUCCACUCAGAAACUGAGUCUGUUGAGAAAUUUGAUCCAUUGGAUUCAAUAUUAUGAAAUUCCAGUGGUAGUAGGGCUAGGAGACCAUUCUACAAUGAUAAAAAAGUAAAGCCUGCCAAAUUCACCAAUUCAUUUGGAAUAGAUACUGAUGCAUUUCUAAAUUCAUUUUAUCAAUUUGCUGGUCGUAGAGGUCUUCCAGGAACAGUUCUGUCGGAUAAUGGAACAAACUUUGUCGAUAGUGAAAACAAACUCAGAUAAUUAGUAAACGCGCUGAAUCAUGAUCAAAUAAAAGAAAAGACAGCAAAUAAAGGAGUUCAGUGGCAUUUCAUUCCUCCAUCAGCACCACAUUGGAGAGGGGAGGUGUACAUGAAAUCAUGGUGAAAAGUGCUGAACGAGCCAUUAAUUCCAUGUUACAGAAUGCUUCAGUGUCAGAUGAGAAAGUUAUGACCCCAUUUGUAGCAGCAGAAGCUCUUACCAAUUUGAGACCUCUUAUUUAUCAGUCAGCUAACCCUGCUGAUUGCAUACCUCUUACUCCAAAUCAUUUCCAGCUUGGACAGAUAGGAGGAGAGUUCGCUCCUUAGAGCCUUGAUACAAAUGAUUUCAACCCUAGAAAUGGUGCGAGUUCAAGAGUUAGUCUGAAACUUCUGGAGUUGUUCGAUUUGUGAGUGGUUGCCAAACUUAUGUACCUCCAAGAAAUGGAACAGAGUUUGACCAGAUCUGAAAGUUGGAGAUGUCAUUAUCAUGGUAUAGCCUGGCACGCCUCAAGCACAUUGGCCUUUAAGUCGUGUUACACACGUUCAUACAAGUUGCGAUGGUUAUGUGAGAGCAGCAAACAUUAUAGUAAAUGGUAAAGAAUUCACAGCCCAUUACAAAGUUAGAAAUUAACAGCAGUGAUUAACACAAUUAUGUGUUAUGCAGAAAUAUUGCAUUUUAUAUGACAAAAAGUGUAAACAUUCUCGCAUGUGGAGGGAAUAAUAAUCCUUCAAAAUGAUUUCAUGUGUGGAGGGCAUAAUAAUCCCUCAAAAUGAUUCCAAGUGAGGAGGGCAAAAUAAUCCCUCAAAAAUAAUUUUGGUUGUGGAGUGCAUAAUAAUCUAUCAAAAAUAAUUUCACAUGUGGAGUGCAUAAUAAUCUAUCAAAAAUAAUUCCACAUGUGGAAGGCAUAAUAAUCCCUCAAAAAUAAUUCCGCAUGUGGAGGGCAUAAUAAUCCCUCAAAAAUAAUUCCAUGUGUGGAGGGCAUAAUAAUCCCUCAAAAAUAAUUCCAUGUGUGGAGGGCAUAAUAAUCGCUCAAAAAUAAUUUAGCAGGAUUAUUUUUUGCUUGUGGAGGGCAUAAUAAUCGCUCAAAACUAAUUUGGCAUGUUGAGGGCAUUAUAAUCCCUCAAAAAUAAUUCAGCUUUAAAAAUGAUUUCGCGUGUGAAGGGCAUAAUAAUCCCUCAAUAUAUUUUAAGAUAAACAAAUAUCUGAAACAUUAUAUUAUAAUCUUGGAGAAAGAGAAAGACAUUUUUCUCUUUCAGGAACUAGAAGAUGCACUGUAUAAAAAGAUGAAGAAGAUUGUAUUUUCAUUACUAUGUACUGUAAUUUUUGACAUGUAUGUAUUUUCAGACAUAUAAUUGAAUUAUUGUAAUACUAUCACAUAAGGCAAUAUUUCAAAAUGUUUGAAAUCAAUGAUACAAAAUUAAAAACAUGAAUACUUUUAUUAUUUGAACGCAUUGUAUUGAACUGUGUUAUACCAAAAGGUCAUAAAUUUUGUCAAAAUUAAUGUAAUAGCUGAUAGUCAAAAAUGGUAUACAUUAUACAGUAAACCUCACUUAUAAGGAACUUGGAUAUAAGGAACACUCAGUUAUAAGGAACAGUUUUCAAUUCCCCGAUCUAAUUCCUUCUUUAUUCAACAUAAAAAUCCUCAGUUAUAAAGAACACUCUGUUAUAAGGAACACUUUUUCAAGUACCAAAGUACGAAAUUCAAUGGAAAACACCUCAGUUAUAGUGAACAGACAUAAAGAAAUAAAGUACUGAAAACCGGAAAUAAACGGGAGAAUCGCUGAUGACGUCAGAUUAAAGUCGGCACUUCACUCCCUUUUAUGUACAUGAAUAAACACAAAUUCUAACCGAUCCGAUUCAUUUUCCUAUUAAACAAAGAAGGCUGGAAACAGUGAAUUAUUAUACAACAAUCCAGUGUUCUGACAUCAUAAUUAUUACGUCAUAUCGUCAAACGGCAUAGUGGCGCGCUGGAAAGGAAACCGAUUGAAAACAGGCAAAUAUUUAAUGAAUGUCAUCAAGGAUGUACUUUAAAGUCCUAGGUAACGUGUUAGAAUCGGAAUAAUAUAUCUUAUUUAGUGUUUUGCUCUUGAAUAAAUCAUUGUUUGUCGUUCAGAUGCGUAUUAUUAUAUCACUCGGGCAUAUAAGUCCUUUGCAUCUGAACUCCAAACAAUGAUUUAUUCAGUGACAAAUCACUAGUGAGAUAUAUUAUUUCUUAAUUAUUUCAUUUCUAUGAUAUUUACAGAUACGCUAAAAAGAAUUCUAACAUAAUCUGAUUCAUUUUCCUAUUAAACAUUGAAGGCAGAAAACAGUGAAUUAUUAUACAACAAAUCACUGUUCUGAAGUCACAAAUAUUACAUCAUGGCGUCAAGACACAGUGGCGCACUGGAAAAGAAACUGAUUGAACAGGUAUACCAAAUUUCCAAUUGUAAAAAUUAUAGCAGGUGCUAAAAUUGACAAUAGCAAAGCUAUAUGUAUAAUUUACACUUCAAUCCAUAUGUAUGGCGCCAUUGGGUAGUCGUAAUACACUGUAUUUCAUAAACGCUUACAUUUAAAUUUUAAUUGGUUGUCCAAUUUAAUAUUUUGUGUAAUAAUAAAAAUUUGAACAUUUAUUUUAUAUAAGUAUUGAUGCCUAUUCACAUAGCAUGAAUCGGGCAAGGGGAUUAACUGCAACAUAUCUUACAGUCAUAAUGUAGCGCUCUCUAAAAAGAAGAUAGAAAUAACCGACGUACAUUUAGUCUAGUUUAGGUUUAACACGGUGUUUCAACACUAUCUCAGUCAUAUACAUGCAGGCAGUUUUCCUUACCAUCUCUCCAGGAAAUUACCUGUACAAGACUCCCAACUUUCUCACAUAAAGAUUCAUGGUCAGCCCGGAGUGUUAUCAAACGUUGGUCAAGUAGUGUUCGCUAUACAAAUUGUAUUUGUUAUACCAACCGCUUAUUAGUUCCUUAUAACUAGCUCCUUAUAAGCGAGGUUUACUAUAGUACUGAAAACUGGAAAAAGUAACAGUUGCCAUAUAUAUCAAUGUUAAAGUGAGUUACUAGAAAGUACAUGUACAUUUCAAGUUGUUGUUGAAAGUUCUGGUUUAACAAGGAAAAUACUAGGUAGUUUGUUGUUUUCAGGAAACUGGUGUAUGGUAUUUAAAAGAGAAUUAUGUUUAUAAACAUUUUGUUUAAAAUUUGGAUUUCAGCCAACAUGUGUAGUUUAAUUUAAGGAUAGUAAUACAAGAAAAAAAAUCAUAUAGUUCAUAACCAAAUUGUUUAAAGGUCUAUUAUAGACAAAAUAUAGAAUAUGUAGUGUAUAUCAAGUUUGUGCAAAUUAGUUUGUAUCUUACAUUUUGUAUUAGACUUAUAGUCUUA